This is a long non-coding RNA of Bufo bufo (common toad), 124 nucleotides long. RefSeq lists it as uncharacterized. Lineage: Eukaryota; Metazoa; Chordata; Amphibia; Anura; Bufonidae. The transcript is spliced from 3 exons. The record is from RefSeq and is a predicted model, not a curated record.
AACUCAUAUCUGUCAGUAGUAAGAGGGUAUAUGGUUCGUCAAAUUGACAGGUAUCACGCCCCCUUUUACACGCCCCCUUUUAUAUCGCUUGAUAUAAAUUUUAUAUCGCUUGAUAUAAAUUUUA